Cyprinus carpio (common carp) is the source of this 695-nucleotide long non-coding RNA. Lineage: Eukaryota; Metazoa; Chordata; Actinopteri; Cypriniformes; Cyprinidae. The record is from Ensembl.
AUGGCCAAGGGGAAGAUCUCUUCUCCAUGUGGAUUCAAGCUGACAACACCACACUGGGAAGAAGAAGAAGCUGGGGAACGAAUAAAAGGGAAAAUUGAAGUCUUAAGCAAAAAAAGAAGCAUCUUUGUGCAUAUGUUAAUGUAUUUUCUGCAAGAGAACCAUGCUCAUUUAAAAGACUGUGUGAGUUAGAGUAUUUACCGCGUGCACUUGAUGCACAAACACAAUCUCGCCCUUCAGAUGGGGAGAGAGUGGUUUGUUUGCGUAGAUCCUUGCAUACGGUAAAAGUGAUUAUUCUUACAGGGUUGCCCCCUGCUAAUGCAAUAUCAAGUCCUGCUCUUGACUGUUGUUUCACUCUUGUGUAUGUCACAGAAACAGCAACACACAAGGCUUUAUUGUCACAUUUAGGGUGAUUUGUAUAGCAUAACAUUGCCACUUCUCAGGGUUUUUGUUUAUAGCACAAAAUACCCUGUUACACUUAACAAUAUGUCCUGAAGUCAGUUUUAACAAUAGAUGCUGCAUGACGUGGAACAUUAUGAACAAUAAGUGUAGACUUAAAUACAUGCCAUUUAGGUGGUGAUUAUUCAUACUAUUGCAACACAGAUGGUUGUGUGUGUAUGUGUUGGUACUGAAUAUGUGUGAGCGUGUAUAAAUAUAUGCACUGGGAGACAGAGUAUGAGUGUUUGAGUGUGUCGUUA